AGCAGAGAGCGCAGCAGCAGCAAUCUCAACCGAACAUGUACAGAAAUCAGAAGCCAACAGACGAUUCUCGUGCCGUUUCGUUCCAAAAAAGAAAAUGGCAGGCAAACAAGCUCAGAACUAACAUUCAUUCUCAUUGCAAAACCGCAUUCAUUUUUGCUGUUCGUAAGUCAAAGUGCCUCUCAGGGCCACGGCACCAAAUGUGACUACGUAUGUAUUUGGAGCAGGAGCAUGUAUCAAAC
Molecule: long non-coding RNA, 239 nt
Filed under: Setaria italica (foxtail millet)
Lineage: Eukaryota; Viridiplantae; Streptophyta; Magnoliopsida; Poales; Poaceae
Description: long non-coding RNA (SITA_LNC005397)
Source: RNAcentral